Long non-coding RNA from Dreissena polymorpha, 345 nucleotides. RefSeq lists it as uncharacterized. The record is from RefSeq and is a predicted model, not a curated record. NCBI's taxonomy places the organism in Eukaryota, Metazoa, Mollusca, Bivalvia, Myida, Dreissenidae. The transcript has 4 exons.
UGUGUAAUGAAAAUAGUUGAAGUCAACCAAACUCCCCAUCUAUGCACUUUCGCCGACAGAGACAUUGCAAUUGGCGAGGAACUCCGAUAUGAUUAUGGAGUACCAACACUUCCAUGGAGAAAGGCAACACAAUGACUACUAGAUCUACGGACAGCCAGGAACCAGGACAAACAACAUCCAUAAACACGGAAGAAGUCAAUGAGACGAAAUGUACGGAACAAAAAAGGGCAACACAAUGACUACUAUAUCUACGGACAGCCAGGAACCAGGACAAACAACAUCCGUAACCACGGAAGAAGUCGAUGAGACGGUUUGUAAUAUUUCACUAUGUCGAAGCUACUAAGG